GUCUUUUCAAAAUUCAAACACACUCACCCACACAAGCUUCACCCUCUCUCAACAUUUAACCACUUCCUUAUGGCUUCAGCUCCCAGAUCAAGUUCUUUGCUUUCCAAUCUCACAGAUAACUGGCUCCUACUUGCUACUACAACACUCAUUUGUGUAUUUGCAGGUUAUGUUGUUUAUGACGCUGUAAUGGCCACUGUGUCUGAGCUGCUGCAACGCUUGCUGGUGAUUUCGCCUUUGCUGUUAGUGAUUGUGGUUCAUUGGCUAUCCACAGGCAGCCAGGUCAACAUUGGGAUUCCAGGGUCUGAGCCAGGAGCUAUCCACAGAGCUGGGGGAUCACCUUGGGGUGUGGCCUUUGUUCUAGUACUGCUGUUCUUUCUCAUAUCGUAUCAGCCUUCUUUCCUUGGCCUUCUUGUGUAGCUCAAUGUCUUUCUGUUCAGAAGGCAAGUAUCAAUAACAUUAUGUCAGCUUCUAUCUGAUGAGCUGAGAUAUUAUGUAAUUCCUAUUACCAUGCUUGUUAUAUAAUCAGUAAUUGAUCUUUCAAAGAGUAUGCUUGAGUCUGUUCACUUUUACAUUAUAACAUGGCAGGAGCUAACCAUGCAUAGUUACCCUACUUACCUAAGUGUCAGAUCUUAGCUUGAGCUUGAUAUACUUCUUCUGCUAGGAAAACUACUAAAACUAGGCAGUGA
Molecule: long non-coding RNA, 686 nt
Filed under: Fragaria vesca (wild strawberry)
Lineage: Eukaryota; Viridiplantae; Streptophyta; Magnoliopsida; Rosales; Rosaceae
Description: long non-coding RNA (FVES_LNC001532)
Source: RNAcentral